RNAcentral lists this ribosomal RNA (435 nucleotides) under uncultured bacterium. RNAcentral's name for it is "partial 16S ribosomal RNA". It matches the Rfam family "Bacterial small subunit ribosomal RNA", at positions 29 to 507 of the family's 1533-position model. The record is from RNAcentral.
AGCGAACGCUGGCGGCAGGCCUAACACAUGCAAGUCGAGCGGGCAUAGCAAUAUGUCAGCGGCAGACGGGUGAGUAACGCGUGGGGAGGGACCUUUUGGUUCGGAACAACUUAUGGAAACUUCAGCUAAUACCGGAUAAGCCGUUACGGGGAAAGAUUUAUCGCCGAAAGAUCGGGCCGCGUCUGAUUAGCUAGUUGGUGAGGUAAUGGCUCACCAAGGCGACGAUCAGUAGCUGGGCUGAGAGGAUGAUCAGCCACAUUGGGACUGAGACGCGGUCCAAACUCCUACAGGAGGCAGCAGUGCGGAAUAUUGGACAACGGGCGCAAGGCUGAUCCAGCCAUGCCGGGUGAGUGAUGAAGGCGCUAGAGUUGUAAAGCUCUUUUGUGCGGGAAGAUAAUGACGGUACCGAAAGAAUAAGCCCCGGCUAACUUCGUG